CACGUAGGGGGCGAGCGUUGUCCGGAUUUAUUGGGCGUAAAGAGCUCGUAGGCGGCUUGGUAAGUCAGGUGUGAAACCUCCAGGCUCAACCUGGAGACGCCACUUGAUACUGCCAUAGCUAGAGUCCGGUAGGGGAGCGUGGAAUUUCUGGUGUAGCGGUGAAAUGCGCAGAUAUCAGAAGGAACACCAGCGGCGAAGGCGGCGCUCUGGGCCGGAACUGACGCUGAGGAGCGAAAGCCAGGGGAGCAAACGGG
RNAcentral lists this ribosomal RNA (254 nucleotides) under uncultured bacterium. RNAcentral's name for it is "partial 16S ribosomal RNA". It matches the Rfam family "Bacterial small subunit ribosomal RNA", at positions 524 to 776 of the family's 1533-position model. The record is from RNAcentral.